UGAGUAACACGUGGAUAACCUACCUAUAAGACUGGGAUAACUUCGGGAAACCGGAGCUAAUACCGGAUAAUAUAUUGAACCGCAUGGUUCAAUAGUGAAAGACGGUUUUGCUGUCACUUAUAGAUGGAUCCGCGCCGCAUUAGCUAGUUGGUAAGGUAACGGCUUACUAAGGCAACGAUGCGUAGCCGACCUGAGAGGGUGAUCGGCCACACUGGAACUGAGACACGGUCCAG
RNAcentral lists this ribosomal RNA (233 nucleotides) under uncultured Staphylococcus sp. RNAcentral describes it as "partial 16S ribosomal RNA". It matches the Rfam family "Bacterial small subunit ribosomal RNA", at positions 107 to 334 of the family's 1533-position model. Lineage: Bacteria; Bacillati; Bacillota; Bacilli; Caryophanales; Staphylococcaceae. The record is from RNAcentral.